AUUGAACGCUGGCGGAAUGCUUUACACAUGCAAGUCGAGCGGCAGCGCGGUCUUCGGACUGGCGGCGAGCGGCGAACGGGUGAGUAAUACAUCGGAACAUGCCCAGUCGUGGGGGCAUGAACACUUCGAAAGAAGUGCUAAUACCGCAUACGUCCUGAGGGAGAAAGCGGGGGCAUCGCAAGACCUCGCGCGAUUGGAGUGGCCGAUGUCAGAUUAGCUAGUUGGUGGGGUAAAGGCCUACCAAGGCAACGAUCUGUAGCUGGUCUGAGAGGGUGAUCAGCCACACUGGGACCUGAGACACGGCCCAGACUCCUACGGGAGGCAGCAGUGGGGUAAUUUUGGGCACAAUGGGAGCAACCCUGAUCCAGCAUUCCGCGC
RNAcentral lists this ribosomal RNA (378 nucleotides) under uncultured bacterium. RNAcentral describes it as "bacterial SSU rRNA". It matches the Rfam family "Bacterial small subunit ribosomal RNA", at positions 30 to 402 of the family's 1533-position model. The record is from RNAcentral.